Molecule: long non-coding RNA, 1332 nt
Filed under: Fukomys damarensis (Damara mole-rat)
Lineage: Eukaryota; Metazoa; Chordata; Mammalia; Rodentia; Bathyergidae
Description: lncRNA (ENSFDAG00000030493.1)
Source: RNAcentral
GUUCAUCCAGUGAGGACUGGCACUUUCGGGCUCUACACUAGGCACUGGAGUGAACCAUGGCACCCCACCCGUGGGGCCAUCUCCUGCUGCUGUUGCUGCUGCCGGCCCUGGGGGCCAGCUCCACCCUGGGCAGGGGUCUUUCCAGGCCCCUCAAAGACAUUCCAGUAGCCCACACCAAGGACUCCGAGCCCCAAGCCUCUGACUUCCUGUGGCGGAACCCUAGGCACUCCGAAAUCCCCCAGGUCCAUGCCGCAGGUCCCCAGUGGCCUGCAGACUCUCCCCUAGGCCCAGCCCUGCCUGGGCCCCACGCAUCCCCUGGGGCUCAGGGAGUGCAGCUCCCCAUGACUGAUGACCUCCAGCUGGCUCAAGGGCCCAGUUCCUGGGGCUGGAUGGGACUCCCAGACACUCAGGAGCCUCAGGAGCAAGAUGCACCUGCCCCCCUCCCAGCAGACACCCCCCACCUCAUGGUCACCCCCACACCUCCCAGUCUUCAAGUUAGGCCAGCCACAGUCCCUCCUGUCCCCCAGGAGCUCCAAGGCCCAGUAGGGCAGCACCCACCUAGAGAUGGGGAUCCCAAGGCCACACCCAAGACCAGAGCCCCCCAGGCUUCUCCCUUGGCCCCCCAGGACUUUUACCAUACUCUCCUGCCCCACGCAAGCACAGUCAUGGAGCCAGUGAUGGGAGGAAAGGACAGGCAUAAGGGUGACUUCCAGGAGGCAGCUGAAGGCCCCCACUCUACCCUGGAGGCCCCAGUGGCCCCUGAUGGCAGCGUAGUCUCCCCCACUGACCCCAGGGCCCAGCCAGACCUGGCAUUGGCCAGAAGCCUACCUCCUACAGUGGAGCUGCCACCUGAGCCCCCUAAGGUUGGUGCUGGGGACACCUGGGACAUCAGGUCCCCAGGCCCUCGGCCCAAGCAGGUGGACCUUCCUGAAGUCAAGGGUUCCCAAGGACCCCAGCCCACAAGUGCUGCAGCCUCAGAGGCUCUGGAUGGGCAGCUGAAGCCAGAGACAGCAGUGAUGAAUGGAGCAGACCCCAUCUUCCCACAGCGGGUGAGAGGAGCAGUGGGGGCCCCAGAAACCCCCAAGUCCCUCAACCCUGGCCUCUCAGACCCUGGCCCAGCCACAAAUGGAACAGAGAGCCCUGUGAGGGUCCUGCAGCCAGAUGGAGCUGAGGAGUGGCCAGGGCGGCCCCAGAGCCAUCCCCCAGCACCCCCAGUCCAGGCCCCCUCAACAUCUCGCCGAGGCCUCAUUCGAGUCACCACACAGAGAGCCCUGGGACAGCCACUGGCACCGGAGCCCUCGGCCAGCUCCACCGCCUCCGACCCGGCUUCCA